AUGAUGAUGGGGAACAUUGAUCUUCACUGUAACAGCUGCAGCAUCACAACACACAGAGGUUUUGUACCAGCAGUAAUAGUGAUUGUAUCACUGUGGUGGACUUUUGGUAGCGGCACCAGACUUGAUGUUGGAAGUAACAGUGCCCCCACCCUCACCGUCCUGCCCCCCUCUAGUGAGGAGCUGUCCAGUACAACAACAGCCACACUGACAUGUCUGGCCAACAAGGGCUUCCCCUCAGACUGGACCAUGAGCUGGAAUGUGGACGGGACCAACAAGAACCAGGAGACCAGUCCCGGGGUCUUGGAGAAGGAUGGCCUGUACAGCUGGAGCAGCACCCUGACUCUCACUGCCCAGGAGUGGACCAAGGCAGGAGAGGUGACCUGUGAAGCCCAGCAGAAAUCCCAGACUCCAGUCACCAAGACCCUGAGGAAGGCUGACUGUUCUGGGUAGAACCCCUCAGACACACACCCCUGUGGAGAGAGGUUGCUGGUUCCUCUGCUUUGACUGUGUUUUGAGAUCAGAUGUUCUCUGCCUUAUUGAUUACUGACAUGUAGACUAACAGAGGGCUUUGCUUGAGUUCAUGUGUCAAUCAUCUCUGUCGACUGAGGUUGAAUCAGUGUUAGAUUUGAUGUGUUCUGUUUUAUUACUACUAGAUACUGUAGGAAUGUUUGCUUUGAUGCUUUAAUGAAUAGAUGAAAAUAAAGAUUUCCCUUUGGACAAAUA
Non-coding RNA from Oncorhynchus nerka (sockeye salmon), 723 nucleotides. Lineage: Eukaryota; Metazoa; Chordata; Actinopteri; Salmoniformes; Salmonidae. The record is from the annotation of a RefSeq genome assembly.